AUGUAUUGUUCUACAUUCAUGCGAAAAUUUAACUUAAGAUUGAAGUACUCUACCAGUGAGAAAGAAAAAGACAGUACUGACAGUACUUGGCAAACUAUUCAAUUUCACCAAGCAUUGGUUCUUGGAUUUUUCAAUCUUCCAAUGCCUAUGUUAAUAUGUUUUUGUAAAACCUCUAAUGCCUAUGUACUGUAUGUUAAUAGUAUUGUCAAUGGAUUUGCUGGGUCACUUCUCUUACAAUUGUGUGCUGCAACCAGGAGGCAAUUAGCUAAGAUCAGAGUCACUUUGAUUACAGUUACUUCAUGA
This 303-nucleotide ribosomal RNA is filed under the name Triticum aestivum (bread wheat). Its description in RNAcentral is "partial small subunit ribosomal RNA". The record is from RNAcentral. Lineage: Eukaryota; Viridiplantae; Streptophyta; Magnoliopsida; Poales; Poaceae.